This 403-nucleotide ribosomal RNA is filed under the name uncultured eukaryote. Its description in RNAcentral is "partial small subunit ribosomal RNA". The record is from RNAcentral.
UUCAUGAAUUCGACGACGAGAGCUAUGUGUACGAAGGCGAUGAUCUGGGGGUGACCCUGGAUGAGGACACAACCACCUUCAAGCUCUGGAGCCCGGUGGCCACCGAAGCCCACGUGCGGGUCUAUGACCAUCCCUGGGGUUCCGAUGACUCUUUCAGCAGCUUUGAAUUGACCCGGCCCGACGGCAGCGGGGUCAUGGAAGUGACGGUUCCCGGAAACCUUCAUGGUUUCUGGUAUCUCUACGAAAUGACGAUCUAUGGCGAGACCUGGCUCACCCCCGACCUCUACGCCACGGCCAUGAGCAGCAACAGCCGCCGAAGCGCCAUUGUCGAUCUGGCGGUGACCGAUCCGGUGGGCUGGGACCAGGACCAGUAUCCCGACUUUCCCACCAUGAGCACGGGGGU